This is a long non-coding RNA of Mobula hypostoma (lesser devil ray), 1963 nucleotides long. RefSeq lists it as uncharacterized. The transcript is spliced from 3 exons. The record is from RefSeq and is a predicted model, not a curated record. Lineage: Eukaryota; Metazoa; Chordata; Chondrichthyes; Myliobatiformes; Myliobatidae.
AUCCUGUUUUAGUAACGUAUAUAAUGUGGAGAAAGAUCAAGAGAACUGUGAAGAAGUACUGUGGAAAAGAACGAUUUGCCAGAACAACUGAUGAGAAGAACAACAGCUUUUGUUGUCAAUGAAGGAUAAAAACAUGUUUCAGGAUGCCGACUACUGCAAGUACAGACAAAAAGGACUAGACAUGACUACUAGCAAAAUUCUACAACUUAUUUUAAAGGUUAAUUGGAUCAUUUGAGCCUAGUUGUUCUCAUUAACUGGCUUGUUCACUGUUGUUACCACUGGAUAGCCUUCAAAUCAUGUUUGCAUUAUUGUUAUUCCAUGUAAGGGGAAACUGUAUACAUUUAUAUAAAAUAUUUAGCAAUCCUUCAAAGAAAAUGGUGCAUAAACUGUGAGGGAGAUAGAAUAGUAAAGGAAGGUGGAGGAAUCGGUCCUCUCAUUUUAACCCAAUGUGUUGGCAUAAAAUGAAGCCCAUUUGUAAGGAUCAACACCACCAAAACUCAAGGACACCUGAAAAUAUCUGAGAAUAGAAGCUGGUUAUUUUCAGGCAUUGCUGGCAAUAUAUAAGAGCAGCGUUAGAUAGAUCUUCAAUCUCAUGCAUAAAAUAUAUGAAACAAUGAAGUCUGCACUUUAGACUUCAGUCAAAUCACAGCUUCAAGUACAUAUACUACCAAUCACAUGUUUAGCAUUAAUGGUAUAUGAUCUGGAUCGUGGUCUCUUUUUCUGCAGAUGCUGUCUGCUUUGCUGUGUGUUUGCAGCAUUUUAAAUUUUUAUUUCAGAUUUCCUGCAUCUGCAAUAUUUUGAAAUGCCACCAAUUAACAACCAAAAAUUCAUAUAUAGAUUGUAUUACUGAAUCUAUAAAUUUUAUUCAUUUUGCCCAGUAUUUUUCUGAGAGAGUCAGAUUGUCACUGUUUACAUCCAUGAUAUGCGAUGUGACCUCGAGAUUAGCUUUGGGUUACAUAUCACUGCCAUUACUGUGUAGAGAUUUAAGCCUCUGUAACACCGCUGAACUAUGCUCCUGCUUCAGUCAUUCAUCGCUGAAUCUUUCGUCCCUGUCUUUGCUACCUCUAGACCUCAUGAUUUCAAUAGACUCCUGUGUGCCCCCCACCCCAUAUUGUGCUACACAAACUUGUGGCCAGCCAAAACUUUGCUUCUUUUGCCCUCACACACUCCAAAUCAAGUUCACCUAUCAUCUCCAUCACAGAUUGGCACUCAUUUAAACGAUGUCUCAAUUUAAAAAUUAUUAGUCUGUUUUCAAAUCUCUGUCUAUUUCCAUAAUAUCCUCAAGGCCAAGAAAUCACAUUGAUAGCUGCCUUUCUCUACAUCUAGUCCCUUAAUCUUCCUUAAACGUAAUCACUCUGCCACUGGCAGCCGAGGUUUGAAAUGACAAGCCCUUAGUUUCAGAAUUUCAUUCCGACCCCUAGCAGCUUCCUACAUAGCUUUUAUCAGAGGAGAUGUUACAAUUUUAAUCAAGCUCUCAAUCAUCAGCCUAAUUUUCCCUGAUGUAGUUUGGUGUCAAAUUUUAUGUUAUAACAAUCCUUAAAGUACUUUGGAUAUGUUGUCACAAUAAUCAUGCUCAAAAAGUUGUUAUUGCAUCAUGGACAUCUAAGUAAUUAAUCAAAUGCAUGAAUGGUUAAACCAGUAUAUGUCUAUUUUAUAUUAUAUUUUAUAUUUCAUUUUAUAUGGUUGCUAUGUAAACAUCUUUGAAAUGACAUACAGUUACCCAGUUCCUGAAAUAUUUUUUUAACAAAGCCAUCAACAUCUUUCUCAUAAACAUGAGAAAAUCUGCAGAUGCUGGAAAUCCAGAACAACACACACAGAAUGCUGGAGGAACUCAGCAGGUCAGGCAGCAGCUAAGGAAAAGAAUAAACAAUCGAUCUUUCAGGCCGAGAACCUUCUUCAGGAACAUCGAUCUCAGAUGACCAAGGUCACCCAAAGCCUCGGAAUAAGUUAAAUAAAACGUUAA